GUGGCCUGCCCGACUCUCACACUAACCCUUACCACAUCCCGAAGGGCCCCCGACACCUUGUCAACUUUCUGCCACACUGAAACCUAAGGUUUCCUGUGCUAAAGAUUUUACAGGAUGCUGGAAUUCAAUGGCAAAGAGAUCAAAAUGAGGUGUUCCCAUUUUCCCAGGGCCAGCUACAGAGGGAAGAAGGAAUGGAGAAAUGUUUGUGAAGUCCCUGGGCAUUGCAGGUGCUCAUUAAUGCUCAUGAGCUCCCCCCCCCAACUAAGGAUAUGAUCAUUUGUUAAUACUACUAUCUGUAAAA
This is a non-coding RNA of Ictidomys tridecemlineatus (thirteen-lined ground squirrel), 301 nucleotides long. Lineage: Eukaryota; Metazoa; Chordata; Mammalia; Rodentia; Sciuridae. The record is from RefSeq and is a predicted model, not a curated record.